UGAGAGGGGGAGAUGAGCUAAAUGUUUUUGAUUAAAUAUAACAAGUGCAAAUCAAUAAAGAAAAAUUAAUAAGUUGUGCACUAAUCAAUAAUUUACAUGCCAGCAAUCAUCCACGCCAGCCGCCUGUGUAUGGAGAUGAUGCCUCCCCCGCACGGCAUUGACAUGCAAACCAGAUCCCACUAGAGACAUUGAAGAAGAAUCUAACUGAUGAAUGACGAAUGGAUGCUUAAAGCAAACAACAGGAUGCUGUCGAUACGAAGCUCAGCACUAUUGAACGAGUCAGACACACCCGAAGAAACUCAAGUCGGCACUUCUUAUUUCAGUCGCCUUUGAAGCCAUUCAAAUAUAGAAUCAGUAUGACAGAACUGAAGAUGGAUGACAGGGAUCAUUGUGAGUCUUAGUCAACUAGCUUCAUUAUUUCAGAAUCCUCUGAUGAAAUAAGAGAAGAGAAGAAAAACAACAAAGGAUAGGCAAAGCAAAUGUGAGUCACUCACAAGGUCUCAUCUAACAAGAUUGAAGAAAACGAGCAUUGAAGAUUUGUCACAUCGGUAAAUGUUUUAUAAGUCCAUGUGGAGUAGUUGAAGUGUUGAAUAGGUUUUGAUACUUUUUGAUUAACGGAAUUGUUCUCACUUUAUUGAACUGUUUGAAAAAGAGGCUGCUUUCAGAAAUAGGGUGUAAAAUAAACUUUAUAUAAGUUUAUCUAAACGUUUAACAGAUGGCGAGUGAGGCAAGGUGCUGAUUGGUUGAAAAUGUUUGAACGGUUGAGGUUGGGUUUUACAUUUUUAACUCAAUUGGGUAUUUGUAAUUAUUUUUUCAAAUAAUUAC
Molecule: long non-coding RNA, 825 nt
Organism: Triplophysa dalaica
Lineage: Eukaryota; Metazoa; Chordata; Actinopteri; Cypriniformes; Nemacheilidae
Exons: 3
Source: RefSeq, a predicted model, not a curated record